This 370-nucleotide ribosomal RNA is filed under the name uncultured organism. RNAcentral's name for it is "bacterial SSU rRNA". It matches the Rfam family "Bacterial small subunit ribosomal RNA", at positions 526 to 896 of the family's 1533-position model. The record is from RNAcentral.
CGGAGGGUGCAAGCGUUAUCCGGAUUUACUGGGUUUAAAGGGAGCGCAGGCGGAUUAGUAAGUUCAGUGGUGAAAGCCUUGAGCUUAACUCGAGAACUGCCAUUGAUACUAUUAGUCUUGAAUGUUGUUGAGGUUUGCGGAAUGGGUCAUGUAGCGGUGAAAUGCAUAGAUAUGACCCGGAACACCUAUUGCGAAGGCAGCAGGCUAAACAAAUAUUGACGCUGAGGCUCGAAAGCGUGGGGAUCAAACAGGAUUAGAUACCCUGGUAGUCCACGCCCUAAACGAUGAUUACUCGACAUACGUGAUAUGACAAUGUGUGUCUGAGCGAAAGCAUUAAGUAGUCCACCUGGGAAGUACGACCGCAAGGUUG